This 254-nucleotide ribosomal RNA is filed under the name uncultured bacterium. Its description in RNAcentral is "partial 16S ribosomal RNA". It matches the Rfam family "Bacterial small subunit ribosomal RNA", at positions 524 to 776 of the family's 1533-position model. The record is from RNAcentral.
UACGGGGGGAGCAAGCGUUGUUCGGAUUUACUGGGCGUAAAGGGCGCGUAGGCGGCCACCGCAAGUCAAUUGUGAAAUCUCCGGGCUUAACCCGGAAAGGUCAACUGAUACUGCGGGGCUAGAGUGCGGAAGGGGCAACUGGAAUUCCCGGUGUAGCGGUGAAAUGCGCAGAUAUCAGGAAGAACACCCGUGGCUAAGGCGGCUCUCUAGUACGGUACUGACGCUGAGACGCGAAAGCGUGGGGAGCGAACAGG